Molecule: ribosomal RNA, 388 nt
Filed under: uncultured bacterium
Lineage: Bacteria
Description: bacterial SSU rRNA
Rfam family: Bacterial small subunit ribosomal RNA
Source: RNAcentral
GACGAACGCUGGCGGCGUGCUUAACACAUGCAAGUCGAGCGGUAAGGCCCUUUCGGGGGUACACGAGCGGCGAACGGGUGAGUAACACGUGGGUGACCUGCCCUCAGCUCUGGGAUAAGCCUGGGAAACCGGGUCUAAUACUGGAUAUGACUCCAUGACGCAUGUUGUGGGGUGGAAAGCCUUGUGCGGCUGAGGAUGGGCCCGCGGCCUAUCAGCUUGUUGGUGGGGNGAUGGCCUACCAAGGCGACGACGGGUAGCCGUCCUGAGAGGGCGACCGGCCACACUGGGACUGAGACACGGCCCAGACUCCUACGGGAGGCAGCAGUGGGGAAUCUUGCGCAAUGGGCGAAAGCCUGACGCAGCGACGCCGCGUGAGGGAUGACGGCCU